Molecule: ribosomal RNA, 465 nt
Filed under: uncultured Klebsiella sp.
Lineage: Bacteria; Pseudomonadati; Pseudomonadota; Gammaproteobacteria; Enterobacterales; Enterobacteriaceae
Description: bacterial SSU rRNA
Rfam family: Bacterial small subunit ribosomal RNA
Source: RNAcentral
CCUACGGGUGGCUGCAGUGGGGAAUAUUGCACAAUGGGCGCAAGCCUGAUGCAGCCAUGCCGCGUGUGUGAAGAAGGCCUUCGGGUUGUAAAGCACUUUCAGCGGGGAGGAAGGCGUUAAGGUUAAUAACCUUGGCGAUUGACGUUACCCGCAGAAGAAGCACCGGCUAACUCCGUGCCAGCAGCCGCGGUAACACGGAGGGUGCAAGCGUUAAUCGGAAUUACUGGGCGUAAAGCGCACGCAGGCGGUCUGUCAAGUCGGAUGUGAAAUCCCCGGGCUCAACCUGGGAACUGCAUUCGAAACUGGCAGGCUAGAGUCUUGUAGAGGGGGGUAGAAUUCCAGGUGUAGCGGUGAAAUGCGUAGAGAUCUGGAGGAAUACCGGUGGCGAAGGCGGCCCCCUGGACAAAGACUGACGCUCAGGUGCGAAAGCGUGGGGAGCAAACAGGAUUAGAUACCCGGGUAGUC